GUUUUUUGGUGUUUUUAAUUUGUUUCUCUAAAAAUAAUUCGAAAAAUAAAAAAAUAAAAAUAAAAAUCAAAUACAUUAAAAAAUCGAUUAUGUGAGUGGCACGAUUUUCAUGGAAUUGGUAAUAGGGGAUCGCAAUCGUUAAAAUUUUAUUUUUUUAUUUGUUACAGACCUUUAAGUAAAAAUAAAGUGAAAAUAGAGGAAAUUAAACUGUAUUUUGGUCAAAAUACACACACACACACAAAUACAUAUAUAUAUAUAUAUAUUCAUGUGUGAUUUAUCAAUAAUCAUAUAUAUAUAUAUACAUGUCUGUGUCUUGUAUAUAUAUAUAUAUAUACACACACACACACUCAUGGAUUCCAUAUAUAUGUGCUUUUCGAAUUUCUUCAAUGAUCUAAUACCCCUUUUGCAGUUUUCAUAUAUAUAUAUAUAUAUGGUCUUAAUUUAUUUUAUUGAACUAGGAUUUGUUUUUCAUGAUCAUUGGAUUCUCAUUUAAAAUAUGAAAGCGAACCCAUUAAUAGAAUUCAAUAAUUAUUAACAAUGAACCUUAUUUUAUUAAAAUGGACCUUACUUGAGUUUAACUAUACAUAUAUUUCUUAUGCAUAUUGCAAUUUUACUUAUUGGUUGCUCAAAAAGCUAGAUGAAGAAAACAAAUUAAGUCAUAUAUUUGAUCAAGCUACCAAUAACUAAUUAAUUUCUGGGUGGUUCCCUGAACUACACAACAUAUAUAUAUAUAUAUAUAUAGAUAAAAAGACUAAGUUAGUCUUUUAUAGAAAAUUCUAAAUUUAGUUAAAUUAUACAUGCUUAUGUGUAAAACUAGCUAUUAAACAAAGUGAAAUAUGGUUGUUGUUUUAUAAAAUUAUUCCAAAGGCACAAGCAAACAAUGGCUGAAUAGGAAAAUACCCGUUAAUGCAAAAGAUAGAACUGAUAAUGUACCACAUCAGCAGCCAAGUAAGCUUCUGUGUCUUCAUACAACAGCUCAGCAAAAGGUUGCCAUGUCAGCUGAGGAGAAAUCAAAUUCAGUUUGAUUACCAACAUCAACAGAUUGGUUUAAGAGUGAUAUAUCUCUAAAAAAAAUUAGUAACAUAUAAAGCUAUAUCAAUAGGAUUGCCUCAAGAUAGACUUCUAGAGGAUGAGAUGUUUAGCUGGUUGUUACUCUUCUCAAUCGUGUAAAUACAUUAAGGCUAUAAAGCUGUUGUUAUACUGUAUUGAAAGGUAGGUGAAAUAGUAUUAGGGAGUAGGUAGCACAAAAGAUGUGUAAACCUUUUACAAAAUAAUUCAGUGUUGAAAAUUUCAUUUUCAAAUUUUACUUUUCAUCAUUGUAUUAGAGUUAUAGAUUUAAGAGAUUCUCAGUUCAAAACUCAAUAACUCCACCUAGAAAGAUAAAAUAAAAAUAAAAUAAAUAGAAACACAUUUAGAACCCGAAAAGAGGUGGGCCUACAUGUAAAGGGGAGUUUUAAAGAAAAAUAUAAAUAAAAUGAAAGUCCACCUUUCAUUAGCUUAAGCUUUUGGAAUCAAUGAUAAUUCAAUAUGGUAUCAGAGCAGCCUACAAUCCUGGACCUAAAUGUUAGGAUGGAAGUGGAGCUUAGACUUUCAAUCCAGUUGCUUCAUCAAUGUUCAAGCCUAGACUUGGAUUCAUCAAACAUUUUGCUGUGGUGGUCUCAAGUUUCUCCUCUCAUCCGAAGCCUAGGAUUCAUCACCUUGUUUCAAGCAGCAUUAAACCAUUGAAGGAGCUUGAAGUGGAAGGAGGUAACAAAGUUAUUAAUCUAAAUUUCAUUACGUGGGUUAACAAUGAUGGCCUUUUGAUCACAUGGUUACUCAGCAUCAUAUCUGUAGAUGUAUGGAAAGCAAUUGAUGAACAUCUUUUAUCAGCCACCAAAGAAAAGGAGACCUUUCUUAAUGAUAGCCUCAUGGGAUUGAAGAAAGGAAACCAGUCAAUCAAUGACUUUAUUUGAAGAUUUACUUCAAUUUGUGACAAUUUGGCCGCCAUUGGCAAACCUAUUGAUGAUCUAGAUAAAUGUUUUCAUUUAUCCCAUGGCUUAGUUGCUAAGUAUCAGCCACUUCAUUUAGCUAUGCUAUCUAGCCUCCAUUUCCCUCCUUCACUCAAUUUGUUUUGGCAUUAAAGGCAUAUGAAUAUGUGUUUACUGACAACCAAUUAGAAUAGAAGCAACACAUGGAUUAUUCACAAUUCAACACCCCAAUCUAAGAAAAUGCUUCAGUUUGAAUUUUUAAUCAUGUUUGAUUAAGGUUGAUAGAGAUGGACCAAGUGGAUUCUGUGGUUGAUUUUUUAGUGUGGAUGAAAUUUCAUAUUGAUCGAGGUACCAUUAUAGGGUACACAUUAAUCCGAGCCUGUAAAGUAGCAGCACGUUGAAAACGGAGUUUUACUUUAAUAGUUAUGGUUAAAACAAAAAUUAAUCAUAACUGAUUUUACUAAGCAGUAGAAUAUUCAAAGAAGUUUUUAAAUUAUGCCACAUGUCAUCCUAUUAAAAUAUUAUUUUUUAUUUUAUUUUAUUUAUUAUUAAAAUAUUAUUUUAUUUUAUUUAUUUCUUUUUCUUUUUCCCCACGUGGGAAAACAAGGGAGAACCCCCAUUCCUUCUUCCUCUUUCUUCUAUUUCUUUCUGGAACUCUCUCUUGCUUUCCCUCUUUUCCUCCCCACGGGUCAUCCUCCUCCUUGUGCUGCUAUCAAUACCGGCCAGCCUGAGCAUCACCGCCACAUCCAGCCGAUGACCCAUCAUGCCGGAAAUUCCAUGGUGAUCUCCAUUCACUGAAUCGGCCAGGGACGGGCCGGAAAGCCCCUAUAGAAGCUGGCGGUGAGCUUACUGUUUGGUUGCCGAUUUCUAGCCUUCUCCGGCCAAAUUUUUUGCUCUCUCUCCCUAAUUUGUACCUUCUGAGUUUAGCUCAAUUCGAGCUCGUUUGUGGUGCACCAUGAGGACAUGCUCAACAGCGCUUCCCGAUAGAAAUUCCGACCACUGCCGACAAGUUAUGCUAAGUUACUCUAAAUAUUGAUGUGAUUAGUGCACGGGUGGAUAUGAUGAGGGCGCAGGUUUAUACUCUCUACUGGGACGCCAGGGUGGCCUAAAUGCAAGUUUCUGUCUUUAACUUCCCCAUCAAGCGGUAUUUUGGGAUGCUGGGCAUCGUUAAAUAUCAUUGGUAUAUAGUAUGAGCAUCAAAUAUCUUUUGUGUGUAUAUAUAUAUAUAUUUUUUAUAUUUGUAUGUAUCACACCGUACGAGGACGAUAAUCCAAUGUGGUCCACGAAGAGCUAGCUUCGUAGCUAUGUUGCCUAUGAUUGAGGGGAUUGGACGGUCAAUCUAGGCAACUAUCCGGGACUGUAUUGGUUGCAGGAUGUUGACUACAGCUGGAAUAAUGGAUUGUGCAAUAUGUUGGAGGGUAUCGUUUGUACCCCCGAUAUGAGUGUAUAUUUCAUAAUAUAUUUUGAAUUUUAAAAUAUUAUUUGAUCUUAUAUUAUUUUAUCUAUCCAUAAUCUAAUUUUCUAACAUUA
Long non-coding RNA from Ziziphus jujuba (common jujube), 3497 nucleotides. RefSeq lists it as uncharacterized. The record is from RefSeq and is a predicted model, not a curated record. Lineage: Eukaryota; Viridiplantae; Streptophyta; Magnoliopsida; Rosales; Rhamnaceae. The transcript has 2 exons.